UCGUCUUCUUCCAUCUAGGAUUCUAGAAUUCAUCGUCAUACAAAUCCUGAUGAAACUAUAGGCCGAGCUUCGUACGCGCCGGUUCGUUUUGGAUUCGUCUCAUUAAAAACGUUACUGAUUCAUCAAGUUAUCGUCAUAAAGAAGCAUCAUUACUCCUUCAGCACACAACUAGCAAACAAUCAAUCAUUCAAUGCUUCUUUUUCCUCUUCCAGACGGUGUUUAUUCAUCUAUAAAAAAGAAUGAUAACUGCAGUUUCAUGGAUACCUAAAAGGUCAUGCCUGAUGAUAUUGAGCCUCCUUCUAAGGAGAAUAUCAAGGAGCUAGCACUCUCAAGAAAGGCAUGAUAUAUGAGUGUCCUGCAGAGUGGUGGAGUUGCUCAUGUCAAGGCUGUAGCCAAAUCUUUUGGAAUACAUGUUCAAAAAGCUAGGUCUAAAGGAUUACAAGAAGAAACUGCUAACAGAUCCUACAUUGCCAGUGCUCACCGACAGCACGCUAAGAGAUGUGAUUAAGGGCCAAGGCUUCUGAUACCGACCAUAUCCAGAGUGUCCCUGAUAUAAAGGGCAAAAAGGAAUAAAGUGGUUUUAAUAUAUGGUCUAUCACCAGAAUCAAUCAAUCUGCUUUGACAGUAAGGAUCUUCAAACACAUAAUGUAACUUUUUUUUUUCAGACACAGAAAUACUAAUCAGCUAUUGUCUUACAAUGAUAAUACUCAGGACAGAGAACAAAAUGCUGUCUUAGAUAUAUUGUUUCUGCGUUUUCUGGUUACGGUCAUUAACUUAUUAUGCCUAUAUAUGAUGUUAUACCGAAGCUAUUAAUCAUUCUCUGAUUUCAGAAUGUAAUGUUCGUUUUUACCAGAAGGAAAGUCAAACUUCCUUUGGAAAAAGUAUGAGUGAAAACUGCUGCUCCAUAGCAAGUCCCUUUGCAAAUUCAAAUUACCCAAGAAAAUUCCACCUGCUCAAGAACCUAGCAACCUAGAGGAAGAGUGGAUUCAAGGAAAGGCGAGGUGAAAAAUGCAAUUAUGGAGUUUCAUUUUCAUGGUCCAAGAAUGUAUUGCAGACUGGUUGUAUUGGUGUCCCCAAAUGACUAGGAAUAGUGGCAUUAGUAGACAAAAUUUUGUUCCUUCUAGCCUAUGACCAAAAUGCUUAGGUUUGUGUUACUCCUACACCUAAUACCUAUACCUCUGUGUUCUCAGGAGAUGUAUUGUAUAUCGGCACUAAAUUCUUCUUCUUAUCAUUCUAUUUAUUUUUUCCUUCUGUAA
Molecule: long non-coding RNA, 1256 nt
Organism: Raphanus sativus (radish)
Lineage: Eukaryota; Viridiplantae; Streptophyta; Magnoliopsida; Brassicales; Brassicaceae
Exons: 6
Source: RefSeq, a predicted model, not a curated record